GUCUUAGUGUUUAUUGCUCUGUUUCUGAUAUUGGAAAUGGCUUACAGGAAAUGGAAAUUAGAACAUCGGUAGUAUCAAGAACAGUAUACAGUACAAUAUUCUUUAAAACUACACAUCGUUCAUGUAGGUGAAAAUUAUUUCUUUUGUCAGCAACCAUCUGUCUUGCUUUGUAUUCAAAGCUAACAUGUUAGAGACAACGUCCUAUACUCAACACUUUCUGAAAAGGACUGGUUUGUCUAUAUGGCCAAAUCAACCAGUUCAUUCUCUGAGCCUGAAUAACAAGUUACGUUAGAAGAAAUACCGGAACCUGACAGCAUUAGGGGGAACAAGCAACAUUGCAAAAGUAACAAGGAAGAACAGUUACUUUACGAAUGUAAUGAAUAAUGGCAUCUUACUUUCUAGCUUUUUUUCUAGCCAUUUUGAUAGGAACUAUUUUGUGCUUUGAUUACCAAAUGGACAUCGGUUCCUAAGAAAAAGCUUAAGAAAAACUAAUGCAGAAGUAACAAGUGGCAUGAAAGGUGAUACAGUGAGUCCUCAUAAUCACAGCACAAUAAUUUAAAAAGAAUAAUGUAAUAAAUUAUUUUUAAAAGCUCAGAGAAAAUCUUCAUUCAAAGGGAUAGUUUCUCCCAUGGACUCUGACUGAUGUGUAUAAGCAACAAUAAAUAUCAGACUAUCAAAACAGCACUUUAAUGAACUACCCAGGACAUAUUUAAUAUACUUUCUAUUAUGAGGGACUACAAACCCAAAAAAGCUGGCAAUUAUGUUAUAGCUGACUUGUUUUUCAAAUCUUAUUUUAGCAUGCUUUAAAUAUUACUCUGAAGUUAGAUUAUUGCCUCUAGGUUCUUUCAUUGAUUUAUAUUUCAAAGCUAGUUUUAUUUUUCAUGUUGGGAGCGACUUGAGAAGCUGCAAGUCGCUUCUGAUGUGAAAGAAUUGGCCAUCUGCAAGGACAUUUCCAAAGCUAAUAAUGAUGAUAUUCAACAAUAUUUUGUCAGAGAUGUAUGGUAUUUGAAAUUAGGAGAACUGUUUUAGAUGUGUAAAUUAGGUAUCCAAGGGAGACAAAUAUAAUGUUAUGUAAAUAUCUAGCUUUUAUACAAAAAAUAAGUGUUUUAUAUGUUUUAUUUACAAUAUUUAUGUGUCUUCCAUUUUCCAUAUGCACCACUCAGCAAAUACCUCCUUAAACUUUGUCUGAGAUCAAUUUGUGUAUACAUUAUUUGUCAGAAAAAGUGAUUCCUUUGCUUUCUGAUGGUUUGAUGUACACAAAAUUGGUUUCAUGAACAGAAAUAUUAUUAAAAAUAUUAUCUUCA
This is a non-coding RNA of Anolis sagrei ordinatus, 1304 nucleotides long. The record is from RefSeq and is a predicted model, not a curated record. NCBI's taxonomy places the organism in Eukaryota, Metazoa, Chordata, Lepidosauria, Squamata, Anolidae.